CACGGCAUUGUGGCAACAAUGGCACGGCAAGGGAGCUGUGUUUUGUUCUUCGGUUCCAUUUUAAUCCUGACCUAACAUUCCGGAAAAUGGAUCUCAAACCCCGGUGACAGUUAAGAACAGCGUUUACACCAACCGGUUCUGGCUAAAUUGGACUAGCAGAACACAGGAGGCUUCCAUUCCAGUUCAUGAUGAAAAUACAUUUUCACUACAAAGUACAGAGAACACGUCAGCCUGGAAAGUGUAACAUACCUAUGUGUACGUGUUCUUAAAAGUACGAUGUCUUUUUUUUUUUUUUCUAAGUUUCCUAUACAGCUUUGGCUUUCUACAAGCUUCCAUCAAAGCACUGGAGUAGACGCCAGAGUGAUGAAGAGUCUCCGCAGAGGGAGUGACCCUUGAGACAGCUCUUAAUUAAGUAGGAUGGGACUCUGUCAAGCAGCAAUUUAACGUGCAAAGACUUGAACACGGUCAUGAAAAGGCGUUGUGAGUCCUCUCCCAAGUGUUCCCCCUGGGUCCUCUUUAGAGCCUGCCCGCCCCCACCGUGCUGGCGGGACCUGUUGACUGAAUGGGCACCAGACAGUCGGUGGGGGCCGGGGAAUGACACCGAAAGCCACGCGAGCAGGGAAAGCAGGAGAAUGUCCUGCCGCCUCGGGCGUUGAAAUGGUGAAAAGGAUUUAGUUGGUGUUCAGCGAGACCUCUAGUGGCCCUGUAGUAGGAGAGGGUUAAAAAAGUGGCCACUUUGAACUCACUUGUCAGAAAGUGCUGUCACAUCCUCUGCUUCGUAAACAGCCACUGCCCUCUGUGGAAGCCGUCACCUUCUAGGCGCCGCGUGGGCGCGAGCGUGGAUGGACAAGGAGGAAAAACCGGACCGAGUCCCAGCUGCCGCCCAGAGGGGUCAGAGGAACCACGGUUUCUCUCUCUCUCCCUUGAAUACUAAGCUCUUCUAAAGAUCGCCGCCUCUAAGAAUUCUUUAACGCUCCGAAUACGGCUUCAGCUCGAACAGCUUCUAAUCCCUUCCUCCUGGAACCCUGUGUCUAAGCCACUCAACACAAGCGAAACAGCACCCCUGUGACCUUGUGGUAUUUUUCUCUCCCCGUUUUUUAUUUUUAAAAAUUGCGUCGUUCGUCCGUAAUUACAGACGGCAAGUGUCCAAGCUAACCGGAAGGUUCUCAUUCUUCACUUCGUCCUCCAAGUAUUGCCGUUUUCCAGUGCUGUUAUCUUGUCAUGAUAGUGAAAAAAAAAAAUACUUACGUAUUCAUAUAUGUAAAGAUAGUCCUCUUCUUCCAUGAAAUACCUAUACCUCCAACUCCCAAAAAUCAUAAUACGGGAACAGACCACGAAGUGAUAGCUUUGCCUAGGUGGGUAAGGGAGCUCACACUGAGGGACCCUCCACCCAUCUUGAGGCCUGUCUUCCUUCUAUCUCCCACCUCCCAGUCCUGGUUCCCAUCUAGUUCGUGUAGAGAACAUCAGGGUGAAGAAGAAGAAAAGAGAAGAAAGAGAUUAUCCAUUCAGACCUGAAUUUAGAGACUAGAAGAGGAAAUUGUCUUGGCAGUCCACUUGAAAGCCCUUCAGUCUCAUCUCUUAGUGCCAAGAAAGAUACAAUCGCAUACCCAGGGAGGCCAAAAGAGGGUGGUGGACCCCGGAACUGGAGUGCUGGGACUGGACCCCAGUCCUCUGCAAGAACAGCAGGAGCUCUUAGCCACUGAGACAUCUCUCCAAAUGUUCACUGUGAUCCUCCUACUUCAACCUUCCCAGGGCUGGGAUCACAGAUGUGCACCACCAUUCAGAUUCUCUAAGUUUUGACCACGAUUGUGUUCCAAACACACACAGCUCCACCUCGAUUUUUUGUUGGUGUUUUUUUUUUGAGGCAGAGUCUCAUGUAGCUGGCCUUGAACUCACCUUGUUGUCAAAAUUGACUCUGGAUUUUCCUGCCUCAACUUCCCAAGCACUGAGAUUACAGAAGUAUGCUACCACACCCAGCUCCACAAAUAAAUAUUUGAACAGAGGGCUUUUUGUUUUCUGUCUUUCCCCUCCCCCAAGAUCUUGCUAUGUUCCCUCGCUAAGCUAGCCUCAAACUCAGUCCUCUAGCCUCCAGAGCAGUUGAGAUUACAAUAUACGUAAGUGUGCCUGGCUUCAGGAGGUUCCUUACAGCCUAUAAAUGAGUGGCAAGGUUUGCUUUAUGAUUGCAAGAUUUUGCUUUAUGCUAUGUUCUUUCAGUAUAGAACCGUAUUGUUUUCAUAGUAAAGAGAGAAUCUGUGAUUCUACAAAAAGAAAGUGGUGCUCUCCCAUUUUCCAGGAACACGAACCCUCUGUACCCACGUCCUUCCUCCUUCCUUUCCUCUCCUCACUCCCUUCCACUUUCCCUUUCAUUUUUCCCAGCCUUCAAAGGGACAUGAUAGUAAGAGAAGAAGUGAAAGUUGGUGGUAAAAGCUUGGAGCGUCAAUGAAACCCUAAGGCAGUCUUUGGCAGUGUGAAUUCAUUCGAAGGCACCACGGCUGUUCGUCCUCUGCCAGUUGUACUUGGUGGGAAUAUAGCCCAGUGUGCCAGACUUUCUGGUGUUUUAGGAGAAGCCAGGAGCUUGGAGUUUUAUGCAA
Long non-coding RNA from Peromyscus californicus insignis, 2591 nucleotides. RefSeq lists it as uncharacterized. The record is from RefSeq and is a predicted model, not a curated record. NCBI's taxonomy places the organism in Eukaryota, Metazoa, Chordata, Mammalia, Rodentia, Cricetidae. The transcript is spliced from 3 exons.